GGAACAUAGAAAACAAACACACACUGACCUCUCUGUGCUGGAGGAAGUUUAUACUGACAGACUCAAUAAAUAAUUCAAGGAUAUGCUGGGUGGUUUUAGGAGAUUUUCCACCUGUAUUAUUUGCUUGUAUCAUUAACUGGAAGCUGUUCGUUGAAUAAUAAUAUUAUUUAAGCUUAUUACAUUAGAAUAAUUAUAUUUUAUAUUUUCUUAUAUGAUUUCUUUGUGUCUGUCAUUGGUGCCCCUCAUGUCUCUUUAGUCAUCUCUAAUAUUUAUAUAUUCCUUAAUUCCGUUCUUUUACUUUUAGGUUUGUGUGUAUUGUUGUGAAUUGUUAGAUAUUACUUCACUGUUGGAGCGAGGAACAAUCAUUUUGCUGCACCCUCAAUAACAUCUGCCAAACACGUGAAUGUGACCAAUAACAUCUGAUUUGAUUUGAUCAGGUAACAGAUGACUACACUGUGAUUGGGUGAAACCUGUUUAAGAAGUAGACCAACCUGCAGUUGUUUUUGGGGUUAAAGGUCACUCUCAAUCAGCGGGGCAGGGAUCAUCGAGGGCGGUUUCAGACAAAGCGUCAAGUUUACGAUCUGGGUGCCAGAUAUAUACCAUUGACCCUGAUUCACCAAUGGAGAGCAGUCAUAACAGGUCUAGUGGUCUAAGCCAUUGCCUCCAGAUCACAUAUAACGCAACAGCAUGGAGGGUCUCAGUCUAGAAACUAAGCAGCUCCUCUCCUCCACCUCCAAGAAGAAAGGAAAGGGUGGGGCUAAGGGGGAACUAGCCAAAGAGGAAGAUGCCAAGAUGGACACUCAGCCAAUCAACAUCAGCCUCCGAUUCAAGAGAUACGUUUUUGACCCCCACAAGAAGAUGGUUCAGUCUUGAGGUGCGUUCAGUUCACUUGAACGUUUGCUACAUUGUGGAGCGGUUUGUACUGAACAACACGUUUCCCCAAAACGUUCUUGUAUGUUCUUGAACAGACUUUGUGCUACGUUUGGUGGGUAUGGCGAGGUGUGGCUUGAAGCAAGGAGUGACGAAUUGAAAGGGCAGCGGUCAUGCAGACAGCGUUCCCAAACCCACAACCCCUCCCCAUUUUUAAACUGGUUGUUCAGUACAGCACCGUUUCCGUUCAAGUGAACGUUCCAGAAUGUAAAAACCAACAGACCGCAGCCCUGACCUUGGCAGCAGUAGCUAGAGGAUGAGAACAGAGCGGUUAAAACAAGUGGCUACACUGUUCUCCUCUUCGAGUUGAAAGUAACGAUUACUAUAUUUUCAAUACAUUUUUCCAUGAUAGGUGAAUAAAUGCUUGCACAAAAUAAAAGGUGUGUCAGCCAUGUUACAGUAAUGAUGGAAAGAUGAGUGGUUCAGAGACGGUGUAAAGGCUGGCCUCUGUAUCUGGAGCACAUAGUGCCUUCAGAAAGUAUUCAUACCUUUUGACUUAUUCCACAUGUUGUUGUGUUACAGCCUGAUUUCAAAAUAAUGACAAAGUGAAAAUGUUUUUAGAAAUGUUUGCAAAUGUAUUGAAAAUGACAUACAGAAAUAUCUCAUUUACAUAAGUAUUCACACCCCUCAGUCAAUACUUUGUAGAAGCACCUUUGGCAGUGAUUAUAGCUGUGAGUCUUUCUGGGUAAGUCUCUAUGAGCUUUCCACACCUGGAUUGUGCAACAUUUGCCCAUUUAUACAUUUCAAAAUUCUUUGCUAGACAGUCAUUUUCAGGUGUUGCCGUAACUGUUUUAAAGUCACCAUUGGCCUCAUGGUGAAAUCCCUGAGCGGUUUCCUUCCUCUCCGACAACGGAGUUAGGGAGGACGCCUUUAUCUUUGUAGUGACUGGGUGUAUUGAUACACUGUCCAAAUGUAAUUAAUAAACCAGAAAGCCAUUGCAAUGCUAGUUAUAGCCUAAUGUUAGCUAGCUAACUAACAUUGAAUCUAGUUGGUUAGCUUUAGCUACCUGCAGAUUCAUACUCCAGCAUUUCAUGCAUGGUGGCUAGCUAUGACAAUCCAUUUUGCACUGUAGCUAUGGGUUGGGAUUAUGGUUAAUUGUUUAGCUAGCUAGCUAACAUAACUUUAUUUCUGCUAGCUAGCUACAUGUCUAAACAAAAUACUCCACUUCGCAAGAGAAUGAUUACGUGACCCAUCAAUUUAGCCUGGUGUGUCUGGGGGUGAUUACGGCCAUCUAUUGUAUUUCAUGUACAUGUCUAGUGACCCAUCCACUUAGAUAGAUGUGUCUGGGGGUGAUUACGGCCAUGCUAUUUGUAUUUC
Molecule: long non-coding RNA, 2247 nt
Organism: Oncorhynchus tshawytscha (Chinook salmon)
Lineage: Eukaryota; Metazoa; Chordata; Actinopteri; Salmoniformes; Salmonidae
Source: Ensembl